RNAcentral lists this ribosomal RNA (490 nucleotides) under uncultured bacterium. RNAcentral describes it as "partial 16S ribosomal RNA". It matches the Rfam family "Bacterial small subunit ribosomal RNA", at positions 29 to 507 of the family's 1533-position model. The record is from RNAcentral.
AUUGAACGCUGGCGGCAUGCCUUACACAUGCAAGUCGAACGGCAUCGCGGGAAAGCUUGCUUUCCUGGCGGCGAGUGGCGAACGGGUGAGUAACACAUCGGAACGUACCGGCUAGUGGGGGAUAACCCGUCGAAAGACGGGCUAAUACCGCAUACGCUCUUCGGAGGAAAGCAGGGGACCUUUGGGCCUUGCGCUAGCCGAGCGGCCGAUGUCCGAUUAGCUAGUUGGUGGGGUAAAGGCCUACCAAGGCGACGAUCGGUAGCGGGUCUGAGAGGACGAUCCGCCACACUGGGACUGAGACACGGCCCAGACUCCUACGGGAGGCAGCAGUGGGGAAUCUUGGACAAUGGGGGCAACCCUGAUCCAGCAAUGCCGCGUGGGUGAAGAAGGCCUUCGGGUUGUAAAGCCCUUUCGGCAGGGAAGAAAUCGGCGGGGCGAAUAACCCUGCUGGAUGACGGUACCUACAGAAGAAGCACCGGCUAACUACGUG